Molecule: unclassified non-coding RNA, 349 nt
Filed under: Hevea brasiliensis (rubber tree)
Lineage: Eukaryota; Viridiplantae; Streptophyta; Magnoliopsida; Malpighiales; Euphorbiaceae
Source: RNAcentral
GUACUUCGUGUAUCUGGGUGGUGAUUAUUUUUGGUCAUGGAGUACAUGUGGUUUUCUGUUAUUUGAUGGUUUAUGUAUGCAUGUAGAGUUUGAGAUCAUGGUGAUACUAUUUUGAGGUUUUUUUUUUAUUCUUUUGUUUGCCUUAGCUUGCUUAAUUUGGAUAUAUAUUUUUUUAUUUAUUUUUAUCCUUUCUUCUCCGCAAAUGGUAAUGGAUUUUUUUUUUUAAAGUAAAAAAAUUACUCCUUUUUUUGUUUGCUCUUUUUCCCCUGCUAGGUUCCAAUAGUACAAGUGUUUUUUCUUAUUGCCCCUUUGAUUUUAUUCUGCUAAGUCUGUCUUUGUUGGAUAUGUA